Molecule: long non-coding RNA, 2879 nt
Organism: Cryptotermes secundus
Lineage: Eukaryota; Metazoa; Arthropoda; Insecta; Blattodea; Kalotermitidae
Exons: 3
Source: RefSeq, a predicted model, not a curated record
GAAGCUUCUGUAGGAAAAGCACAUACUGUGGGUCACUCCUCGCAUGUCUGAGCGUCGCGACGUUACUCCACCACGACGCCGCCAACAAAACCCCGCCCGUCGCCGCAACCCGCCGUCGAUGUUUCAGAAGCACCGAAGCUAGAGCGAAUUCAGACGAGACGCCAUCAUACCAGAAGUCAAGCCAACUAGCAGAGAGUACUUAUUUUCAGAACCCACGCAAUGCUUUCUUUCUAUCCUUGUUUUAGUUUCUUUGUUUCUUUACAUCCCUGUUCCUGCAGCCUUCCUUCUUUCUCUCUAUCUGUCUCUUUGUUCUCAGCCGAGGCUUAGAUGACUGAACACUACUUAAAUGAAAAGAAAUCUAUAUUUGCUAUUGUUUCUCCUCUCCAUAGGAAAUCACGGCAGUAAAACCACACAACUAAAGGAAUACUUCUGCCAAUGUAUCUGUUCAGUUCUAGUAGAUCGAUUGAGGCUGCUAACCUUCCGGUUCAUCUGUAACCUCGAUAUAUAGCUGUGAGGAGAAACACCGAGGAUGUUAAUUAAAGAGGCCAAAUCGUCGAGUUCGACAACAUUACGGCAUCAUACGCCAUAAACCAGUCUUAAUUAAUAGCAUUCUUAUCUAAUUAAAACGGGACAUUGUUCACUAUAUAGACAUAUUUGUCAUAGUCAUGCUGAAGCUACAUAUAGGACUAUAUCUCCUCAAAAUAUCAGCUCAUAAAUCUGUCUGCCAGUACAUAUUCAUUACAUUAGUAUCCUAUUAUUUAUUCCAUACCACAGUCACAUAGCAAACUCUGAGAUCGCUUUGAAGGUUCUAUAAAAACGUCAAAGAGACUAUUACACAGACAGCCCAAUUAGUGUCUGUAGCCUGACUGGUUAUGAUUCUAAUCUGUGUACUGUGAAUUAGUUUAAGAAGAAACUAUAGAAACAAAGAAAGUUUGAAAUGUUAGUUUUUCUUCUGUAUCAGUGAACAAGACAAGGAAUUUUAAAAUGUAAUAUUAAUUCCAUCGCUCCAAUAAGUAAUUUUUACAAUAUUUCUAAGAGUUAUCUCUAAACUGUAGGGUAAUUAACUCAUGAAUAUUCAAAACAAGUUUGGCAAUUUACUAAAUACUAAGUAUAUCCGAAUUAACCGCAGCACCUUCAAAAUUUUAAUAUAGGCCCAGUUCGAGGUGGAAUUAAAUGUAUCAUAACACUUCAGGCCACUGCGUUUACUUUGCACAAAACUGGUUAUGAGGAAUGUUAAUAGAAAUUACAUAUGUUACGUAGUAUUUAGCAAACUGAAAUAUGUAUGUGCCAUAUAAGUUCACCUGUCUAGCUUUAGUAACAUGCAGAUUUAGUUGAUUUAAAGGCUCAGUUCCAAUAUAUUUACAGGAGAGUUACUGUAAAGGUACUGAGAAAAACUUUUCUUUCAUGACUUCAAUAUGAAUAACAAAAAUACGUAGUUCCAGACAAAGAAGUUCUUUCUCUUGGUUUCUGGAAGCUGUUUCUAAUGCCUUUAUGAUUCAACAACGCUCCUAGUGUGAAUACGAUAAUAUACACAUGCAAAAGUGAAUUGAACAAGAAUAAUUCUUAAACCUGCAUUGACAGGUAUACAUAUUAUUCAGAAGUGAAUAACGGAAAUCAAUAAGACAAUAGACGCAGAGCUAAGAAUCUUCUAAAUUACUAGGAAAUGGUUUUAGCUGUGAAUAAAUUUAAUUUAAUAAUUUCCGCAUGAUGUUACGGAUCAAAUUUAACAAACUUUGACUAAAAAUAUCCUGUAACUGACGCCGAACUAAUAUAUUAACCCGACAUUGUGUCAGUGACGGUUAACCAACUUCCACAUUAGUUUACAACACAACACAAGAGCGGUCAUUUCACAUAUGGAAAUUAUGGUAGUUGUUUAAAAAUUUUAUUAUGAUUUGAAGAACAACUAUUGGUAAUAUGACUCCUAAAAACAAACACAAAUUCUGGUCGAUAUGCGUAACGGACAAAAUGGCGUUACACCCAAUAUUUACAAAAAAAAAAAAAUAAGUCUACUUUUGAUUAUAAACUUAUCUGUAUAUUGCAUCAUUCAUCCUCAACAUUCACUCCAUGUGUUAACAGUCCUUUUUAUCAUACAUGUAAGUAGUUAUUCCAGCAGGUACAAAUGGUGAUACUGCUAAGGAGGAAAAAUAAUAUUAAUUUAUGUAAGAAGGUCAAUCAAUAAAAAUCUGAGACCUCAUAAACGUAAAUACAUACAACACAUGUAUGAAAUUAUGACAUACAAAAUAUAUAUAUAUAUACAACCCAUAUACAUAUAAUGUAGUGUAGGCCACUAGUAGUUUAUGUAUGGUAGCAUAGUAGGCCUAUGAUAAUGUGCUGUAUAUCAUAAUAGACUACAUAAAGAUAGAGUGACCUAUAGAAUACAAUACAGUAUAGCACAGCACAGUGUAGUAUUUAGUACAUCAUAGAAAAAUACAGUGCAUCACAGCAUAAUGUAAUGAGUAUACAAAAUGAAUUUAUUUAUUUUUGCGUUAAUGGGCAACAUGAAAAAAUGAAGGAUAUUAAUGACAAUUAUUUGAUUUAUUUUUUACCACUUAACUCUUGAUACAAAAAGAUACAUAAUAACACUACUGAGAUUAAAGUGUCAGUGUUUAUGCUUUAAACAGUCUGGCUUUUCUACUAACUAGCUAGAGAAAAAGACAUAAUUCAAUUCAUUAAAUCAAAAAUAAUAUUACUGUAGAAAAUGCUAGUUUUUACUCGUAAAUAAUUCAAGUGUCGAAAUACACCCCAGAGCGUGUAUCAGAAAAUCUUAAAUAUAAAUAUCAUAAUUGCCCAAACCGCGCAUUCCUACGUUGCAUGGAAGAUGUGUAUGUAGAAAUGUUUUCUGUAACAUUCAAUCAACUAAAGGUGUAUAUUUCUUAAGA